RNAcentral lists this ribosomal RNA (429 nucleotides) under uncultured archaeon. RNAcentral describes it as "bacterial SSU rRNA". It matches the Rfam family "Archaeal small subunit ribosomal RNA", at positions 474 to 903 of the family's 1478-position model. The record is from RNAcentral.
UACCUGCAGCUCGAGUGGUAACCGUUAUUAUUGGGCCUAAAGCGUCCGUAGCCGGUUUGGUAAAUAUCUGGGUAAAUCGUGAGGCUUAACUUCACGAAUUUCGGAUAGACUGCCAGACUUGGGAUCGGGGGAGGUCAGAGGUACUCCAGGGGUAGCGGUGAAAUGCUGUAAUCCUUGGAGGACCACCGGUAGCGAAGGCGUCUGACUAGAACGAGUCCGACGGUGAGGGACGAAGCCCUGGGGCGCAAACCGGAUUAGGUACCCGGGUAGUCCAGGGUGUAAACGAUGUGGGCUUUGUAUUGGAGGUCCCACGUGGGCGUCCAGUGCAGAAGAGAAGUUGUUAAGCCCACCGCCUGGGAAGUACGGUCGCAAGGCUGAAACUUAAAGGAAUUGGCGGGGGGGCACAGCAACGGGAGGAGCGUGCGGUUU